AGCCACUGCUAUCGGAGUCCGACUAAGCCAUGCGAGUCUUGGUAGGCUUUGCCUACCGGCGGACGGCUCAGUAACACGUGGACAACCUGCCCUCGGGAGGGGGAUAACCCCGGGAAACUGGGAAUAAACCCCCAUAGGUCAUGGAGGCUGGAAGGCGCCAUGACCGAAAUUCCGAAAGGAGCCCGAGGGUGGGUCUGCGGCCUAUCAGGUCGUAGUGGGGGUAACGGCCCCACUAGCCUACGACGGGUACGGGCCCUGAGAGGGGGAGCCCGGAGAUGGACUCUGAGACACGAGUCCAGGCCCUACGGGGCGCAGCAGGCGCGAAAACUCCGCAAUGCUCGAAAGAGCGACGGGGGGACUCCGAGUGCCUACGCUUUGCGUAGGCUUUUCCCGAGCCUAAAAAGCUCGGGGAAUAAGGGCUGGGUAAGACGGGUGCCAGCCGCCGCGGUAAUACCCGCAGCUCGAGUGGUGGCCGCUUUUAUUGGGCCUAAAGCGUCCGUAGCCGGUCUGGUAAAUGCCUGGGUAAAUCGUCUGGCUUAACCAGACGGCUCCCAGGUAGACUGCCAGACUUGGGACCGGAGGAGGGAGAGGGUACUCCAGGGGUAGGGGUGAAAUCAGCAGAGCAUCACUCUGAUGAUGUGAUUUGCUCUGCAAGUCACAAUCCUGUAAUCCCUGGAGGACCACCGGUGGCGAAGGCGCUCUCCUAGGACGGGUCCGACGGUGAGGGACGAAAGCCAGGGGAGCAAGCCGGAUUAGAUACCCGGGUAGUCCUGGCCGUAAACGAUGUGGACUGGGUAUUGGGAUGGCUACGAGCUGUCCCAGUGUCGUAGGGAAGCCGUUAAGUCCACCGCCUGGGGAGUACGGUCGCAAGGCUGAAACUUAAAGGAAUUGGCGGGGGAGCACCGCAACGGGAGGAGCGUGCGGUUU
RNAcentral lists this ribosomal RNA (927 nucleotides) under uncultured euryarchaeote. RNAcentral describes it as "bacterial SSU rRNA". It matches the Rfam family "Archaeal small subunit ribosomal RNA", at positions 21 to 903 of the family's 1478-position model. Lineage: Archaea; Methanobacteriati; Methanobacteriota. The record is from RNAcentral.